This 274-nucleotide ribosomal RNA is filed under the name uncultured bacterium. RNAcentral describes it as "partial 16S ribosomal RNA". It matches the Rfam family "Archaeal small subunit ribosomal RNA", at positions 473 to 747 of the family's 1478-position model. The record is from RNAcentral.
AAACCAGCACCUCAAGUGGUCAGGAGGAUUAUUGGGCCUAAAGCAUCCGUAGCCUGUUCUAUAAGUUUCCGGUUAAAUCCACUAGCUCAACUAAUGGGCUGCCGAAAAUACUGUAGAACUAGGGAGUGGGAGAGGUAGACGGUAUUCGGUAGGAAGGGGUAAAAUCCUUUGAUCUAUUGAGGACCACCUGUGGCGAAGGCGGUCUACCAGAACACGUUCGACGGUGAGGGAUGAAAGCUGGGGGAGCAAACCGGAUUAGAUACCCGGGUAGUCC